This 506-nucleotide long non-coding RNA is filed under the name Capsella grandiflora. Its description in RNAcentral is "long non-coding RNA (CGRA_LNC000686)". The record is from RNAcentral. Lineage: Eukaryota; Viridiplantae; Streptophyta; Magnoliopsida; Brassicales; Brassicaceae.
AAGUAUAUUAUCUUCUCUCUCUUAUCGCUUCUCUAUCUUUCAGAGAAAGAAGGAGAUUUCCGGUACACCGGAGUUUAUCUUGUAAAAUAGUUUUCCAGCUAAGUUCUGGAUUUUUGCACCGGCUAAGUCCGGUUUCUUUCUCGUUUUAGCGAGAUCUAGAUCUCUAAUCCAUUUGUGUUUUCUUUUAGUUAAAGUUUUCUGAUUAUCCUUCCAAAUUUUCUUCAAUCUCUUCAACUAUUUGUGGAGUAAUAUCUUCAUCGCUUUAUUUUACUCAUAUCAUAAGAGCAAAGAAAAGAAUUACAUCAAAUCUGGAUGUAUUCGGUGGUGGAGCUUCCCGGAGUUGAUGAUCUUUGGAGAAGAUUUGAAGAGUUUUAUCUAGAAACCAGAAAAACUUGACAUAUCUCUUGGAUGGAUCUGAGAUCGGCAGAAGAAAAUUGACAGAAGAAAAGAAGUUCUCCAUCAAGCAAAGGAUGAAUCUAUCAAUCUAAGGAGCUUGAUCGGAANNN